Molecule: ribosomal RNA, 404 nt
Filed under: Nematoda environmental sample
Lineage: Eukaryota; Metazoa; Nematoda
Description: SSU rRNA
Rfam family: Eukaryotic small subunit ribosomal RNA
Source: RNAcentral
UGCUUGUCUCAAAGAUUAAGCCAUGCAUGUCUAAGCACAAGCCCUUGAAUGGUAAAGCCGCAAAUGGCUCAUUACAACAGCCAUAGUUUAUUAGAUCUUACUUUCCUACUUGGAUAACUGUGGUAAUUCUAGAGCUAAUACACGCAGCAAAGCUCGAACUCACGAACGAGCGCAUUUAUUAGAGCAAAACCAAUCAGGUUUCGGCCUGUCUUUUGGUGAAUCUGAAUAACUCUGCAGAUCGCACGGUCUCGAACCGGCGACGCAUCUUUCAAAUGUCUGCCUUAUCAACUUUCGAUGGUAGUUUAUACGCCUACCAGGGUUGUAACGGGUAACGGAGAAUAAGGGUUCGACUCCGGAGAGGGAGCCUGAGAAACGGCUACCACAUCCRAGGAAGGCAGCAGGCA